CCCUCUUGUUCCCUCCCACUCCUACGACAGAAAGAGGAACGCUCAAAACUUGAACCUGCUUUCCAGAUGCCUCGGCCUUCCUCACCAGCUCACUUUGUGUCGUUCCUUCUCUACGCUUCUCUCCCCCCGUCCCUCUCCCUUCCUCUCUGGGCUGUGUGUAAGAGGAUCACUUUGUUUCCGUUGUCUUUUUUCCGCGGUGCUGCAGAACACUCGUAGAGGAGAGGAUUGGAUUUGAGGAGAUACUGACGGGGGUGCACAGCUGCAACAGUCCCCUCCAUCUCUACACUUGGACUAAUGCACCCCCCCUCUCUUCUCCUUCUCUCCGACUCUCCCUCUGUUGCACUCUUUCUGCCUCUCUGGGUGGGGGGUGCCAUAUGGGAGCUCAGAAAAAUGGAAGUGGAUCAGAGAUAGAAGAGAGGAAUCUUUCAUUCUCGGUCUCGGAUAACGGGCUCGACGUGAGAUUGACCAUGGCAGCAAACCCCCCCGAGCGAGACACUUCCCUGAGGGGAGCCCUGUCUGUCUCUCUCCACACUCAAAGGUAAGAUUUGUCACAACUUAUUUAACAAAAUGUUCAAAAAAUUAUGUUACAAUUAAUAGUUACCUGUAGUAAAAUGUGUAAUCAGUAAUAAUAAUAAUAAUAAUAUUUUAUAACGCACUUCAUAUCUGAGUUCAGAUCCCGAAGUGCUACAAGCAUUUAGCAUGGAACAAAAAUAAAAACAGUACACAACACGGUAGAAUGAAUAAAAAGCAGUAAAAACAAACAAUAAAAAAAAUAAUAGGGUAGUAAUAAAUAAGAUACAAGGUUCUAUUGAACAGAUGGGUGUUGAGGCCUUUUUUAAAAGCCUCCACGGUCUGUGGAUUAGUAACCUAAUCUGUGUAUACAAAAUGAAAGUAAUUCUGUUAAUUUUGGAUGUAUGCAAUGCAAAUAAAUACAAGAGAAAAUAAAUAUCAAUAAGAUGUUUUAUUUAUUUAUUUAUUUUUUAUUUAGUAUGAAAGUUUCCUCUGCUGGGAGAUCUUAUUUAUUUAUCAUUCAGCAUAUUCAGGCAGCACACACUAAAAAAGCAGAAAUAAAGUCUGAGCUGACAGAAAAUGCUCCGUUUUAGUUUAACAGACACAGUUAAGCUCACACACACUAGUUUAUGAACAUAUGAACCUGCUGAAUUAAAAACAGAACAAAUGAAGCAAAGAAAGUGAAAAGCAUAAAGCAGAUUCAGGCAGUAGGCGUAUAGAUUCACACUGAAAGUAUUAUCCUACAGAACAGAACAGCUCUAAGAGAAGAGAUAACACCUGAUCCUUUACAACAAACGCUAGAUGCUCUUUUGAACUUUUUAGUGACAUUGUAAUCCUGUUAUUUAGUAAUCCCAAUUUUUGGAAAAAUAACAGUCAUCUAAUUAUUUGAAUAUAACUUUAAGGGAUUACAUUUUGUUGUACCCUGAUUACGUAAUCUGUUACUCCCCAAACCUGCUUACUUUUAUAAUGCUGCCUCCUUGGAUGGAUGUGUUGGGUAUGUUAGUCUAGACUUUCAUUCAUAAAAAUGUGUGCAAUAUCAUGUGCAAUACAUAUCCUGUGCAAUUCACGCUCUAAUUUUUCUUUAAAUGUAUUUUUCAAUCUGUAAACAGUACCAGCUACUCUAUAUUUUGAUAUGGUCUUUUUUUUUUAACUACACUGCUACUACGAUCUGUUAUUUUCUGUUAUUUGUUUGUGACUUAUUGUGUUUAUAUUACUAAUAACAUGUGCCUACUUUUUUUAAUAUAAUAUGUAAGUCUACUCUUUUGAAUGAAUCUGCACUCUUGCUGUUGUAGUACGGCACAGUUCCCUGACAAAUAAAGGAAUUCUGAUGAUCUGGUCUGUCCCUUUGCUGUAACAAUGUAAAUGUCCCCCUCUGUCACAAAUAAAGGAUUUGUGAUUCUGAUGUCCCGGUGUGAUGCGUUCUUGUUGUGCGACCGCCCUGUUUUGCGUGCACUCUUCCAGCUGCAGUGAAAGACAGACGGCCUGCUCAUGAUCCGCAGGCUGCCCGGAGCCCGCUGAGCAGAGGGAGCAGAGACGACCUUUUACUCUGCUCCGUCCCACUGCACUCACUUAAAACAGUGAUGGAUGUUCCUCCUUAACACCCGCUCCCCACCAGUGCUGCUAUUCUCCCCCCUCCCUCUCCCUCCCCCUCCCUCUCCCUCCCCCUCCCUCUCCCCCCUCCCCUCCCCUCUCCUCUAACACCACUCUCCCCUUACGUUGUACCAUCUCAUCUCCAGGGUUGGGAGGGUACCUUUAACAAUGUAAUCUGUUACAAUGACUAUUUACAUGUAAAAAAAUGUACAGUGAAAAAACUGAAACAUUGACUUUAAUUAAAUUUAAAUGUAAUAUUUGCUUUUAACUAACCUAAUACAGCUAUGGGAAAUCAGUUGACAUAAUACAUUUAAUUAAAGUCUGUUUCAGUUUUCAGAUCAAGUAAUGUAAUUUCCAUUUCUCUUAGAUUACCUUAAUAUCAGAUGCAAUCCAAAUAAAUAAAAGAGAAAGGAAAUAUCCAUAACAUGUUUUUUUACUUAAGUGUAUUAUAUAAGACAACAGAACAAUGUGACCUUAGAAAAGAAAAAAACAAGAUAUUUGCUAUCAAAAAUUAUAGUAUAGAUUCACACUUAAAGUAUUAGCCUACAGAACAGUAAAGUUUACAUAACAUAAAUAAAAUCGGAUCCUUUUACAACGAACACUAUAUGCUCUUUUCAGUUUUUCUGUCACAUUGUAAUACCUUCUUUUUUUUAAUCCCGAUUACAUUUUUCCGUUACAUGUAAUCUGCUACUCCCAAAACCUGCUCCUCUGCUUCUAGUUGUUCUACAAUCCUUUUACAGGAAAGGGAAAGAUGGGAGGAUUAGUGGAGAUUGAGUGUGUGUGUGUGUGUGUGUGGGGGGGGGGGGGUUCAGAGCAGAGUCAAGAACCCCCCAACCCCCCUAUCCAGUUCCUCAUUAUAUGCAGGCUGUUGCUCAGGUGACAUGGCCUGUGGAUUGAGUCAGAGGAACAUCAGCAGAGAGGAAGAGAGCGGGAGAGCAGGUGAGGGUGAUGGAGACAAGACAAGUAAGGAAGGCAAGGGUUGGUCUUCUUUUACUACACCCCCACACACACACUCCCGUUUACCCUGCUGUAAUACACCCAUAUUUUCUCAUUCAAUUCCCGCCUCCUUCCCAGAGCCAGUGGAAGUGUUUGUUGUGUUUGAACAGCAUCUGCUGCUGGUGGAGGAAUGUUAGUAGUACAUGUCUGCAGGUAUGUUUAUUGUUCAAAUAUCCUGUAAUUUAAUUGGUUGGUGCAGUUUCCAAAAGCCAUGAAUGUAUGUAUUUUCUCUUAACAGUAAAUGUCAUAUUUGUAUAUGUUUCUCAUUUUGUGAUUGCUGUGAUUUCAAUAAAGGUCUCUAUUGAA
Gymnodraco acuticeps is the source of this 3402-nucleotide long non-coding RNA. RefSeq lists it as uncharacterized. The record is from RefSeq and is a predicted model, not a curated record. The transcript is spliced from 3 exons. Lineage: Eukaryota; Metazoa; Chordata; Actinopteri; Perciformes; Bathydraconidae.